UUGAUAUUUGCAAUUCAAAUUUACUAGGAGGAAGUCUUCUGUGAAAAGAAUCAUCCAUCCCCUGAUAAUGGCUAAUUUUAUUCCUAAUUGGGGCUAUGAACCAUUCAAAGAAAAAACUUUCAACCCUUUCCAAAAUCCACUGGCUUGAAAGAAACCCAGAUGUCAUUAGUGUGUCAGUGUUCCCUGAUGAGAGCUAAGGAUGAAAAAAGCAGUUUUGACUUUUAGAGGAGCUUUUGAGACUGUGAUGUCAUCAGCUUCUCCCAGGCUUGAGAGCAAUUUACUUCAUUGUAUUGUAAUUUAAUGCAGUACUCUUAUUCAGUUACUAGUCACCCUACAUAAAACUAGAAAGCCCAGAAGAAAGGACACAAGAUCCAUGCUCCUGACCUUAGGAUAACUGAUUUAAACUUUUCUUCACCUUUCAAAUGGUAUUACCCUUAUUGGCUUGAUCACUCUAAGUGCUGCGUUGUUCAUUCCUGAUUGGCUCAAUUCCAUUGUGUGAGGAAUCAGAUGGCGGUCCUACUGUCCCUCAUAUAACGUGAAGAUAUUUGUGAAUUAAGAGAUGUGAAAAGGCUUUGUCUCAACUCCCCUUACCUGCCUAAAAGCAGAGCCUCCCCAAGGAGUUCAACUGUCCUAAAUCCUUUCGCCAGAAUUUCAUAACCAGGGAAGAUGACUCCUGUCAACAAGAUGAGAAGCCAGGACUGGGAUAAAAAAUUGUCCAAGAAAUUGUUACAAAACUAUCGUGUCUCCCAUCUGUUUUCCUAAGUACCCCUUUAUCUUUCCUAAGUGGUCCUUUCUCCUCCAACUUUUCCCACACUAAUGUGGUAUAUAAGUCCCAAAUUCUAACCCCCUCUUUAUGCCACAUUUUCUGUGAGCUGUCCUAUAAACAAAUAAGAAUAAACAUUGUCUUUUCUAUUGUAAAUCUUCCUUUUGUCAGUUUAAUUUGCAGGCCCUUAAGAACAAACUUAAGAAAGCUGAGGAAAAAUUUUUCCUCCCUGACAAAGGCAAUGUCAAA
This is a long non-coding RNA of Herpailurus yagouaroundi (jaguarundi), 1012 nucleotides long. RefSeq lists it as uncharacterized. The transcript has 3 exons. The record is from RefSeq and is a predicted model, not a curated record. NCBI's taxonomy places the organism in Eukaryota, Metazoa, Chordata, Mammalia, Carnivora, Felidae.